CUUGAUGUGUUCCUCUUAAAAUAUCAUUGGUGCAUAGUCUAGGCUUUGUUACCUUUACCUUUGGUAGUUCUACUAGAUAGGUGGGUUCUGUAAGCAUAAGCUUUCACUUUGGACCUUAAAAGUUUAUCACAUUCUCUGGAGAUGAGCUGCUAAAGAAAAAAAGAAAUAAGAUUUGCAUGCUAGUGAUCUACAAAUGUGCCAAUUUUCCUUAAGCUGGUAAAUUAGGCUCUAUCUCAUCCAAAAGCACUUUUAUUGUUUGUUCACCAGUUUUCUAAGUGCACUCCUAAUUUUCUUGUUUGCUAGGAUUCUGAAAAAACAUAUUAUUUUAUUGAAUAGCCUAUCUUAAAACAAUGUUACAAGCUUAUGUAUUUAUACACAAGUACAGCCAAUAUACACUAGGAAACUAGCAGGAAACUCCUCUUCCUAAAGUUUGUCCUAAAAUGAAGCUUAAAAUCUGGCCUAAGUAUUUAUACACAAGUAGAAACUAGCAGGAAACUCCUCUUCCUAAAGUUUGUCCUAAAAUGAAGCUUAAAAUCUGGCCUAAAAUCAAGGUCCUAAAAUCUCUACAAUUAAUACUUUUUGACUAAUAU
This 590-nucleotide long non-coding RNA is filed under the name Gossypium barbadense (sea-island cotton). RNAcentral describes it as "long non-coding RNA (GBAR_LNC014564)". The record is from RNAcentral. Lineage: Eukaryota; Viridiplantae; Streptophyta; Magnoliopsida; Malvales; Malvaceae.